GACGAACGCUGGCGGCGCGCCUAACACAUGCAAGUCGAACGAGCGAGAGAGAGCUUGCUUUCUCGAGCGAGUGGCGAACGGGUGAGUAACGCGUGAGGAACCUGCCUCAAAGAGGGGGACAACAGUUGGAAACGACUGCUAAUACCGCAUAAGCCCACGGGUCGGCAUCGACCAGAGGGAAAAGGAGCAAUCCGCUCUGAGAUGGCCUCGCGUCCGAUUAGCUAGUUGGUGAGGUAACGGCCCACCAAGGCAACGAUCGGUAGCCGGACUGAGAGGUUGAACGGCCACAUUGGGACUGAGACACGGCCCAGACUCCUACGGGAGGCAGCAGUGGGGAAUAUUGCACAAUGGGGGAAACCCUGAUGCAGCGACGCCGCGUGGAGGAAGAAGGUCUUCGGAUUGUAAACUCCUGUUGUUGGGGAAGAUAAUGACGGUACCCAACAAGGAAGUGACGGCUAACUACGUGCCAGCAGCCGCGGUAAAACGUAGGUCACAAGCGUUGUCCGGAAUUACUGGGUGUAAAGGGAGCGCAGGCGGGAAGACAAGUUGGAAGUGAAAUCUAUGGGCUCAACCCAUAAACUGCUUUCAAAACUGUUUUUCUUGAGUAGUGCAGAGGUAGGCGGAAUUCCCGGUGUAGCGGUGGAAUGCGUAGAUAUCGGGAGGAACACCAGUGGCGAAGGCGGCCUACUGGGCACCAACUGACGCUGAGGCUCGAAAGUGUGGGUAGCAAACAGGAUUAGAUACCCUGGUAGUCCACACCGUAAACGAUGAUUACUAGGUGUUGGAGGAAUGACCCCUUCAGUGCCGCAGUUAACACAAUAAGUAAUCCACCUGGGGAGUACGACCGCAAGGUUGAAACUCAAAGGAAUUGACGGGGGCCCGCACAAGCAGUGGAGUAUGUGGUUUAAUUCGACGCAACGCGAAGAACCUUACCAAGUCUUGACAUCCCUUGACAGGCAUAGAAAUAUGUUUUCUCUUCGGAGCAAGGAGACAGGUGGUGCAUGGUUGUCGUCAGCUCGUGUCGUGAGAUGUUGGGUUAAGUCCCGCAACGAGCGCAACCCUUAUGGUCAGUUACUACGCAAGAGGACUCUGGCCAGACUGCCGUUGACAAAACGGAGGAAGGUGGGGAUGACGUCAAAUCAUCAUGCCCUUUAUGACUUGGGCUACACACGUACUACAAUGGCAUUAAACAAAGAGAAGCAAGACCGCGAGGUGGAGCAAAACUCAGAAACAACGUCCCAGUUCGGACUGCAGGCUGCAACUCGCCUGCACGAAGUCGGAAUUGCUAGUAAUCGUGGAUCAGCAUGCCACGGUGAAUACGUUCCCGGGCCUUGCACACACGGCCCGUC
RNAcentral lists this ribosomal RNA (1349 nucleotides) under uncultured bacterium. RNAcentral describes it as "bacterial SSU rRNA". It matches the Rfam family "Bacterial small subunit ribosomal RNA", at positions 28 to 1398 of the family's 1533-position model. The record is from RNAcentral.